GACGAACGCUGGCGGCGUGCCUAAUACAUGCAAGUCGAGCGAAGUUUUUCUGGUGCUUGCACUAGCAAAACUUAGCGGCGAACGGGUGAGUAACACGUAAAGAACCUGCCUCAUAGACUGGGACAACUAUUGGAAACGAUAGCUACUACCGGAUAACAGUAUUUCUCGCAUGAGAGAUAUUUAAAAGUUGGUUAUGCUAACACUAUGAGAUGGCUUUGCGGUGCAUUAGCUAGUUGGUGGGGUAAAGGCCCACCAAGGCGACGAUGCAUAGCCGACCUGAGAGGGUGAUCGGCCACACUGGGACUGAGACACGGCCCAGACUCCUACGGGAGGCAGCAGUAGGGAAUCUUCCGCAAUGGGCGAAAGCCUGACGGAGCAACGCCGCGUGAGUGAAGAAGGAUUUCGGUUCGUAAAGCUCUGUUGUUAGGGAAGAAUGGAUAUGUAGUAACUAUACAUGUAAGAGACGGUACCUAACCAGAAAGCCACGGCUAACUACGUG
RNAcentral lists this ribosomal RNA (499 nucleotides) under uncultured bacterium. RNAcentral describes it as "partial 16S ribosomal RNA". It matches the Rfam family "Bacterial small subunit ribosomal RNA", at positions 28 to 507 of the family's 1533-position model. The record is from RNAcentral.